This 1802-nucleotide small RNA is filed under the name Pan troglodytes (chimpanzee). Its description in RNAcentral is "retained intron". Lineage: Eukaryota; Metazoa; Chordata; Mammalia; Primates; Hominidae. The record is from RNAcentral.
CAGGUGUCGUGAAAACUACCCCUAAAAGCCAAAAUGGGAAAGGAAAAGACUCAUAUCAACAUUGUCGUCAUUGGACACGUAGAUUCGGGCAAGUCCACCACUACUGGCCAUCUGAUCUAUAAAUGCGGUGGCAUCGACAAAAGAACCAUUGAAAAAUUUGAGAAGGAGGCUGCUGAGAUGGGAAAGGGCUCCUUCAAGUAUGCCUGGGUCUUGGAUAAACUGAAAGCUGAGCGUGAACGUGGUAUUACCAUUGAUAUCUCCUUGUGGAAAUUUGAGACCAGCAAGUACUAUGUGACUAUCAUUGAUGCCCCAGGACACAGAGACUUCAUCAAAAACAUGAUUACAGGGACAUCUCAGGCUGACUGUGCUGUCCUGAUUGUUGCUGCUGGUGUUGGUGAAUUUGAAGCUGGUAUCUCCAAGAAUGGGCAGACCCGAGAGCAUGCCCUUCUGGCUUACACACUGGGUGUGAAACAACUAAUUGUCGGUGUUAACAAAAUGGAUUCCACUGAGCCACCCUACAGCCAGAAGAGAUAUGAGGAAAUUGUUAAGGAAGUCAGCACUUACAUUAAGAAAAUUGGCUACAACCCCGACACAGUAGCAUUUGUGCCAAUUUCUGGUUGGAAUGGUGACAACAUGCUGGAGCCAAGUGCUAACAUGCCUUGGUUCAAGGGAUGGAAAGUCACCCGUAAGGAUGGCAAUGCCAGUGGAACCACGCUGCUUGAGGCUCUGGACUGCAUCCUACCACCAACUCGUCCAACUGACAAGCCCUUGCGCCUGCCUCUCCAGGAUGUCUACAAAAUUGGUGGUAUUGGUACUGUUCCUGUUGGCCGAGUGGAGACUGGUGUUCUCAAACCCGGUAUGGUGGUCACCUUUGCUCCAGUCAACGUUACAACGGAAGUAAAAUCUGUCGAAAUGCACCAUGAAGCUUUGAGUGAAGCUCUUCCUGGGGACAAUGUGGGCUUCAAUGUCAAGAAUGUGUCUGUCAAGGAUGUUCGUCGUGGCAACGUUGCUGGUGACAGCAAAAAUGACCCACCAAUGGAAGCAGCUGGCUUCACUGCUCAGGUAACAAUUUAAAGUAACAUUAACUUAUUCCAGAGGCUAAAGUCAUUUCAGACUUUGGAUUUGCACUGAACGCAAAUCUUUUUUCCAAGGUGAUUAUCCUGAACCAUCCAGGCCAAAUAAGCGCCGGCUAUGCCCCUGUAUUGGAUUGCCACACGGCUCACAUUGCAUGCAAGUUUGCUGAGCUGAAGGAAAAGAUUGAUCGCCGUUCUGGUAAAAAGCUGGAAGAUGGCCCUAAAUUCUUGAAGUCUGGUGAUGCUGCCAUUGUUGAUAUGGUUCCUGGCAAGCCCAUGUGUGUUGAGAGCUUCUCAGACUAUCCACCUUUGGGUCGCUUUGCUGUUCGUGAUAUGAGACAGACAGUUGCGGUGGGUGUCAUCAAAGCAGUGGACAAGAAGGCUGCUGGAGCUGGCAAGGUCACCAAGUCUGCCCAGAAAGCUCAGAAGGCUAAAUGAAUAUUAUCCCUAAUACCUGCCACCCCACUCUUAAUCAGUGGUGGAAGAACGGUCUCAGAACUGUUUGUUUCAAUUGGCCAUUUAAGUUUAGUAGUAAAAGACUGGUUAAUGAUAACAAUGCAUCGUAAAACCUUCAGAAGGAAAGGAGAAUGUUUUGUGGACCACUUUGGUUUUCUUUUUUGCGUGUGGCAGUUUUAAGUUAUUAGUUUUUAAAAUCAGUACUUUUUAAUGGAAACAACUUGACCAAAAAUUUGUCACAGAAUUUUGAGACCCAUUAAAAAAGUUAAAUGA